CGCCCGCGGGACCAUUUUCACACUCAAGACGCUCCUCUUGAGGACUACCUGUACCCACAGGACAACGUGAGCAGAAUGUCAAGGCCUGUCCAUAGGGGUCAGAAUAAAACGCGGCAGAAAGGCACCCCCUGUGAAAACAAACCUGGGAAGAGAUGUGAGGAUCCGAGGGAGGAGAAGACAAGAUAUUCUUAGUUUGUUCCAGUGAAUUAUUCAUUGUAGAGCAGACCACAUGCUGUCACAGUGAAACACAAAGGAAAUUUUAAAAUAAUCAAGAGCAAAA
This 280-nucleotide long non-coding RNA is filed under the name Danio rerio (zebrafish). RNAcentral's name for it is "si:ch73-145l22.4 (ENSDARG00000097422.2)". The record is from RNAcentral. Lineage: Eukaryota; Metazoa; Chordata; Actinopteri; Cypriniformes; Danionidae.